UUAGUAACAUUUGGUAAAAAUUAAUCUUUAAUUUGCCAUAUUCCUUUUAAUUAAUGUUAUGUUUAAUGAUUUAUUUUUAAUAUUUAAUAUUUAAUGAUAUUCACAUGGCAAUUUUCGAAGGUGCUACAUGGCAGGCAUAGGGAACAAUUAGCCUGCUAUCCCUUGUUUUACCAAUGCAAUAGCCUAAAAAGAACAGGUUAAAAUUCAACAAAUAAAUUAAAAUCACCUUCAGCAUACAAUUAACAACCCGUAGUAUGGUAGACCUAAAAUUCAGAAGCCACAAGCUAUUAUCCAUACUCACUAUCCAAUCCACCCACAGCAUAUCGAUGUACCACACCCACCGAAACACCAUUUCAUCGUCGGAAUUGUCGAGAAACAGAGCAGAAAAGCAUGACGAAAGCCGAUUCAUGAUACGAAAGUCAAUUCAACACUCUUCCAAUCACAACAAGACAUGCACUACAACAGUUAACCAAAAAAAUAAUAGAAAUUGAGAACUCUCAGUCUGACAGAAGCAGCCAUGGAGAAACAACCAUGCGAGGAGGACAUGCGACAGUUCUUGACUCGUCAACAGCCUGCGAAAAUGAGGAUUACUGGAUGUGACAGUAUAGUUUGGAGAUGCCCCCACAAUGAGGAGUCCUCGCCAGAAGCAAAGCACGUGCACAAAUCGAGUUUCUUAGGCAAACACAUGUAUAACAGCUCAAAAUUCACAACCUGUAUUUUAGUAGACUCAAAAUACCCAUACCAUUAUCCCAUCCACUCGCGAUGCAACACACCC
Molecule: long non-coding RNA, 775 nt
Filed under: Manihot esculenta (cassava)
Lineage: Eukaryota; Viridiplantae; Streptophyta; Magnoliopsida; Malpighiales; Euphorbiaceae
Description: long non-coding RNA (MESC_LNC011580)
Source: RNAcentral